AUAAUUUUUGAGACAUGGUAUUGAUUCAUGAAUAUCAUGUAAUGGUUUUGAAAAUGGGAUGGAUACAAAUCAAACUGAAAACUGGAAAUGGAUCACAUAUCUCUAUUUGGAGCUGCGUAAGAGGUUCCGUUAUUUGAUAACGACCCAUCAUGGUGGCGUAAGAGGCUUGCGUGGUUUACACACCCAAAACCACCUGGUCCAGCGUCUAAAGACCUAGCUAGUCUUUAGGUUCCGGAACAUUAUUUCGUGAUGGCCGACUAGAGCCGUCCGGUGUUGAUAGACUGAUCAGCUGUCUUCACCUGUUAGCGUCC
This 311-nucleotide long non-coding RNA is filed under the name Daucus carota (carrot). RNAcentral describes it as "long non-coding RNA (DCAR_LNC000161)". Lineage: Eukaryota; Viridiplantae; Streptophyta; Magnoliopsida; Apiales; Apiaceae. The record is from RNAcentral.